RNAcentral lists this ribosomal RNA (585 nucleotides) under uncultured bacterium. RNAcentral's name for it is "bacterial SSU rRNA". It matches the Rfam family "Bacterial small subunit ribosomal RNA", at positions 338 to 916 of the family's 1533-position model. The record is from RNAcentral.
CCUACGGGAGGCAGCAGUGGGGAAUUUUGGACAAUGGGCGCAAGCCUGAUCCAGCAAUGCCGCGUGAGUGAAGAAGGCCUUCGGGUUGUAAAGCUCUUUUGUCAGGGAAGAAAAGGCUACGGAUAAUACCUGUGGCUCAUGACGGUACCUGAAGAAUAAGCACCGGCUAACUACGUGCCAGCAGCCGCGGUAAUACGUAGGGUGCAAGCGUUAAUCGGAAUUACUGGGCGUAAAGCGUGCGCAGGCGGUUUUGUAAGACUGUCGUGAAAUCCCCGGGCUCAACCUGGGAAUGGCGAUGGUGACUGCAAGGCUAGAGUUUGGCAGAGGGGGGUAGAAUUCCACGUGUAGCAGUGAAAUGCGUAGAUAUGUGGAGGAACACCGAUGGCGAAGGCAGCCCCCUGGGUCAAAACUGACGCUCAUGCACGAAAGCGUGGGGAGCAAACAGGAUUAGAUACCCUGGUAGUCCACGCCCUAAACGAUGUCUACUAGUUGUCGGGUCUUAAUUGACUUGGUAACGCAGCUAACGCGUGAAGUAGACCGCCUGGGGAGUACGGUCGCAAGAUUAAAACUUAAAGGAAUUGACGG